Molecule: long non-coding RNA, 300 nt
Filed under: Rhinopithecus bieti (black snub-nosed monkey)
Lineage: Eukaryota; Metazoa; Chordata; Mammalia; Primates; Cercopithecidae
Description: lncRNA (ENSRBIG00000045426.1)
Source: RNAcentral
UCCUGCCACAUUCCUGCAACUGCGAGGCCCAGCCCGCCGCUCCCCACCCCGCCUCCGCGCCGGGCCCAGGGCUUUCCUGCGUCCCCUCCACCGCCGGCUCGCCCCUGAGGAGGGGCUGGGCCAGGGCCUCGGCUGACCGGGAAGAAGGGGAGCAGAGAAAAACAUGAGUCACAGCCGUGUGUCACUGGAGCGCAUUUCAAUUCCCUGCAUCACAGGAGAUCCGCAUUUGCUACCAGCAGCGGCCGCGGCGGAGCCAGGCCGGUCCUCAGCGCCCAGCACCGCCGCUCCCGGCAACCCGGA